Molecule: long non-coding RNA, 1444 nt
Filed under: Citrus x clementina
Lineage: Eukaryota; Viridiplantae; Streptophyta; Magnoliopsida; Sapindales; Rutaceae
Description: Citrus clementina (C. clementina) long non-coding RNA (CCLE_LNC005917)
Source: RNAcentral
GGGUGGGCUAUAGCCUUGGUGGGGGGCGUGAGCGAAGUUCGUCCGCGGGACUCGGAAUGGCACCAGACUUGGCGGGCGGACUCCGUGUGCCAAAAAUAGGCCACGGGCACAGCCGCGCCCAAAAACAGCCCCCGAAGUUCGGGCUCCCAAGACCCCCCAGCGGAAAAAUGGCCAAAAAACGGGUGGGCUAUAGCCUUGGUGGGGGGCGUGGGCGAAGUUCGUCCGCGGGACUCGGAAUGGCACCAUACUUGGCGGGCGGCCUCCGUGUGCCAAAAAUAGGCCACGGGCACAGCCGCGCCCAAAAAACAGCCCCCGAAGUUCGGGGUCCCAAGACCCCCCAGCGGAAAAAUGGCCAAAAAACGGGUGGGCUAUAGCCUUGGUGGGUGGCGCCCAAAAGUUCGUCCGCGGGACUCGGAAUGGCACCAGACUUGGCGGGCGGCCUCCGUGUGCCAAAAAUAGGCCACGGGCACAGCCGCGCCCAAAAAACAGCCCCCGAAGUUCGGGUUCCCAAGACCCCCCAGCGGAAAAAUGGCCAAAAAACGGGUGGGCUAUAGCCUUGGUGGGUGGCGCCCAAAAGUUCUUCCGCGGGACUCGGAAUGGCACCAGACUUGGCGGGCGGCCUCCGUGUGCCAAAAAUAGGCCACGGGCACAGCCGCGCCGAAAAAACAGCCCCCGAAGUUCGGGGUCCCAAGACCCCCCAGCGGAAAAAUGGCCAAAAAACGGUGGGCUAUAGCCUUGGUGGGGUGCGUGGGCAAAGUUCGUCUGCGGGACUCGGAAUGGCACCAGACUUGGCGGGCGGCCUCCGUUUGCCAAAAAUAGGCCACGGGCACAGCCGCGCCCAAAAACAGCCCCCGAAGUUCGGGUUCCAAGACCCCCCAGCGGAAAAAUGGCCAAGAAACGGGUGGGCUAUACCCUUGGUGGGUGGCGCCCAAAAGUUCUUCCGCGGGACUCGGAAUGGCACCAGACUUGGCGGGCGGCCUCCGUGUGCCAAAAAUAGGCCACGGGCACAGCCGCGCCGAAAAAACAGCCCCCGAAGUUCGGGGUCCCAAGACCCCCCAGUGGAAAAAUGGCCAAAAAACGGUGGGCUAUAGCCUUGGUGGGGUGCGUGGGCGAAGUUCGUCUGCGGGACUCGGAAUGGCACCAGACUUGGCGGGCGGCCUCCGUUUGCCAAAAAUAGGCCACGGGCACAGCCGCGCCCAAAAAACAGCCCCCGAAGUUCGGGGUCCCAAGACCCCCCAGCGGAAAAAUGGCCAAAAAACGGUGGGCUAUAACCUUGGUGGGGGGCGUGGGCGAAGUUCGUCCGCGGGACUCGGAAUGGCACCAGACUUGGCGGGCGGCCUCCGUGUGCCAAAAAUAGGCCACGGGCACAGCCGCGCCCAAAAAACAACCCCCGAAAUUCGGGGUCCCAAGACCCCCCAGCGGAAAAAUGGCCAAAAAACGGUGG